GGCAUGUUCGUAUAGGGGUUAGUACGUAACCUUCACACGGUUAAAACGCCGGUUCGAGUCCGGCACAAGCCA
RNAcentral lists this transfer RNA (72 nucleotides) under Tilletia controversa (dwarf bunt fungus). It matches the Rfam family "tRNA". From Rfam's summary of the family: Transfer RNA (tRNA) molecules are approximately 80 nucleotides in length. Their secondary structure includes four short double-helical elements and three loops (D, anti-codon, and T loops). Lineage: Eukaryota; Fungi; Basidiomycota; Exobasidiomycetes; Tilletiales; Tilletiaceae. The record is from Rfam by way of RNAcentral.